GACGAACGCUGGCGGCGUGCUUAACACAUGCAAGUCGAACGAUGAACCCGGAGCUUGCUCCGGUGGAUUAGUGGCGAACGGGAGAGUAACACGUGAGUAACCUGCCCUUGACUCUGGGAUAACUGCGGGAAACUGUAGCUAAUACCGGAUACGACCCUCGGCGGCAUCGCCAGGGGGUGGAAAGAAUUUCGGUCAAGGAUGGACUCGCGGCCUAUCAGCUAGUUGGUGAGGUAACGGCUCACCAAGGCGACGACGGGUAGCCGGCCUGAGAGGGUGACCGGCCACACUGGGACUGAGACACGGCCCAGACUCCUACGGGAGGCAGCAGUGGGGAAUAUUGCACAAUGGGCGCAAGCCUGAUGCAGCAACGCCGCAUGAGGGAUGACGGCCUUCGGGUUGUAAACCUCUUUUAGUAGGGAAGAAGCGAAAGUGACGGUACCUGCAGAAAAAGCACCGGCUAACUACGUGCCAGCCGCCGCGGUAA
This 484-nucleotide ribosomal RNA is filed under the name uncultured bacterium. Its description in RNAcentral is "partial 16S ribosomal RNA". It matches the Rfam family "Bacterial small subunit ribosomal RNA", at positions 28 to 523 of the family's 1533-position model. The record is from RNAcentral.